This 495-nucleotide ribosomal RNA is filed under the name uncultured bacterium. Its description in RNAcentral is "partial 16S ribosomal RNA". It matches the Rfam family "Bacterial small subunit ribosomal RNA", at positions 28 to 507 of the family's 1533-position model. The record is from RNAcentral.
GACGAACGCUGGCGGCGUGCCUAAUACAUGCAAGUAGAACGCUGAAGGAGGAGCUUGCUUCUCUGGAUGAGUUGCGAACGGGUGAGUAACGCGUAGGUAACCUGCCUGGUAGCGGGGGAUAACUAUUGGAAACGAUAGCUAAUACCGCAUAAGAGUAGAUGUUGCAUGACAUUUACUUAAAAGGUGCAAUUGCAUCACUACCAGAUGGACCUGCGUUGUAUUAGCUAGUUGGUGAGGUAACGGCUCACCAAGGCAACGAUACAUAGCCGACCUGAGAGGGGGAUCGGCCAAACUGGGACUGAGACACGGCCCAGACUCCUACGGGAGGCAGCAGUAGGGAAUCUUCGGCAAUGGACGGAAGUCUGACCGAGCAACGCCGCGUGAGUGAAGAAGGUUUUCGGAUCGUAAAGCUCUGUUGUAAGAGAAGAACGAGUGUGAGAGUGGAAAGUUCACACUGUGACGGUAUCUUACCAGAAAGGGACGGCUAACUACGUG